GAUAUCAGGUAGUGUAGGAGUCAGUGGGAUGUUGAUAUCAGGUAGUGUAGGAUUCAGUGAGAUGUUGAUAUCAGGUAGUGUAGGAGUCAGUGGGAUGUUGAUAUCAGGUAGUGUAGGAGUCAGUGGGAUGUUGAUAUCAGGUAGUGUAGGAGUCAGUGAGAUGUUGAUAUCAGGUAGUGUAAGAGUCAGUGGGAUGUUGAUAUCAGGUAGUGCAGGAGUCAGUGAGAUGUUGAUGUCAGGUAGUGUAGGAGUCAGUGAGAUGUUGAUAUCAGGUACUGUAGGAGUCAGUGGGAUAUUGAUGUUGAUAUCAGGUAGUGUAGGAGUCAGUGGGAUGUUGAUGUUGAUAUCAGGUAAGUUUGGAGUCAGUGAGAUGUUGAUAUCAGGUAGUGUAGCAGUCAGUGAGAUGUUGAUAUCAGGUAGUGUUGGAGACAGUGGGAUGUUGAUGUUGAUAUCAGGUAGUGUAGGAGUCAGUGAGAUGUUGAUAUCAGGUAGUGUAGGAGUCAGUUAGAUGUUGAUGUCAGGUAGUGUAGGAGUCAGUGAGAUGUUGAUAUCAGGUAGUGUUGGAGUCAG
This 570-nucleotide long non-coding RNA is filed under the name Salmo salar (Atlantic salmon). RNAcentral's name for it is "lncRNA (ENSSSAG00000098630.1, ENSSSAG00000114640.1)". Lineage: Eukaryota; Metazoa; Chordata; Actinopteri; Salmoniformes; Salmonidae. The record is from RNAcentral.